UACGUAGGGUGCAAGCGUUAUCCGGAAUUAUUGGGCGUAAAGAGCUCGUAGGCGGUUUGUCGCGUCUGCUGUGAAAACUGGAGGCUCAACCUCCAGCCUGCAGUGGGUACGGGCAGACUAGAGUGCGGUAGGGGAGAUUGGAAUUCCUGGUGUAGCGGUGGAAUGCGCAGAUAUCAGGAGGAACACCAAUGGCGAAGGCAGAUCUCUGGGCCGUAACUGACGCUGAGGAGCGAAAGCGUGGGGAGCGAACAGG
Molecule: ribosomal RNA, 253 nt
Filed under: uncultured bacterium
Lineage: Bacteria
Description: partial 16S ribosomal RNA
Rfam family: Bacterial small subunit ribosomal RNA
Source: RNAcentral